Molecule: ribosomal RNA, 569 nt
Filed under: uncultured marine bacterium
Lineage: Bacteria
Description: bacterial SSU rRNA
Rfam family: Bacterial small subunit ribosomal RNA
Source: RNAcentral
CCAAGCGGUGGAGCAUGUGGUUAAUUCGAUGCAACGCGAAAACCUUACCUACUCUUGACAUACUUGGAAGCUCUUGUAAUGAGAGUGUGCUUUUAGAGCCAAGAUACAGGUGCUGCAUGGCUGUCGUCAGCUCGUGUCGUGAGAUGUUGGGUUAAGUCCCAUAACGAGCGCAACCCUUACCCUUAUUUGCCAGCGGUUCGGCCGGGAACUAUAAGGGGACUGCCGGUGACAAACCGGAGGAAGGUGAGGACGACGUCAAGUCAUCAUGGCCCUUACGAGUAGGGCUACACACGUGCUACAAUGGGGAAUACAGACGGACGCUAAAGCGUGAGCUGGUGCUAAUCCUAAAAAAUUUCUCGUAGUCCGGAUUGCAGUCUGCAACUCGACUGCAUGAAGUCGGAAUCGCUAGUAAUCGCGAAUCAGCAUGUCGCGGUGAAUACGUUCUCGGGUCUUGUACACACCGCCCGUCACACCAUGGAAGUGUGUUGCACCAGAAGUAGGUAGUCUAACCUUCGGGAAGGCGCUUACCACGGUGUGAUCCAUGACUGGGGUGAAGUCGUAACAAGGUA